Long non-coding RNA from Oncorhynchus tshawytscha (Chinook salmon), 5079 nucleotides. The record is from Ensembl. NCBI's taxonomy places the organism in Eukaryota, Metazoa, Chordata, Actinopteri, Salmoniformes, Salmonidae.
CUCAGAAGGUGGAGCCGACCCACAGAUAAAGGUUCAAGAAAAACCAGGAAGAGGGAGAGAGAGUGCUGGAAGGAUCUAUGAACAAUAGAGAAAGAGACAAUAGAGAUUGGCUGGAUUUACUGUGUAUGAGCUGGAUUGUUUUGGACUUACCUGUUGGCGUUUGGACCUGGACCUGCCGAGAACCCGAUUUGAGUACCGAACCCUGCUAUCCUUGACCUCGCCUAUGGCCUGGGUGGACCAGGACGGAGAAACAAACACACAGAGAUAAGGAGGCGGUUGCCUUGUGGGAUCAGACGCCGUCAAAUCACAGAUCAGGAAGAGGCUGUCGAGCAGGAAGAGGAAGACCGGGCAGGGAGUGUGUGUGUGUGUGUGUGUGUGUGUGUGUGUGUGACUAUUCACUCUGGUAAUCAUGAAGAGACACACCUAUUGAUAAGCUGCUGUCCUUGUCCACUGACAAUGAACAUCUGGCCUGACCUAGUAUCCCCCAGCUAAGUGAACAGGGCUGAAUGAUAAUCAUGUUUUACCAGCCUCCCCACCCACAUUAACCUUUAUGAACAGGUGUUUGUACAGACCUCUGUUUGUUUGUCUACCCUUCUGCAUUGUCGCUAACAUUGUUCUACGAGGUCUAACUGCUGCCUGGGGGCAUUUUUUAGUACGUACUGUGACUAUUAAACUCUCAUACUUAGUGAGGAUGAAUGGAAUUGUAGUACUUAAAUAGGAUUAUACAAGUAAAGAGGAAAUAGCUGUAAAAUAUGAUCUUGCCUGUUGUUUUGCAUGGUGCAGCAUGUUGACAGAAUGGGCCAGAACAGGAGCACCUGUAACAGGAGCACCUGUAACUUGGCAGCCGUGGAGGAGAGGUUUAAAAGAGGAUGGUCUGGAUGUGCCUGUCCUGGUUCUGCCAGCCUAACAGUGACGAACAGCUACAUUAAUCAACCCUGUCCAGCAGACAAGGGGUGAGUCCAAAAUGAACACUUCACCAAAUUUAGCCGCUACUGAAAGGUUGCUUCCUCCUCCCCAGGAAUACCCUGACCCACUUCUCUCCCUCCAUAUGUUUCCCCCUGCAAUCUCCCUCUCCAAUCUCUACCCCUGUUUCUUUAUUCAAGAUAAUCUUCCCUUUGUUGAUAUUAAGGUUCACUUCCCUGAACAGUUACUAUGGGAAAAUAUGAAGUUGGUUUUGGCAGACUGAAGCACUAUAUGGUAUUGUUAUGCUGAUGACUUUGUGGUUGGAUUGAUUACACAAUCUAGGCUACUUUGCAUUGUUGCUUGUCAUAUCGAAAUAAUAGAGACUACAUUGUCAGGGUCAAAAUACUUAACCUUUAAACAAGUGUAUAGAAGAAGAGGAUCUGAUGCACCAAUAGGAUGCCAUUUAGGGUGUAAACACAUUGGGUAGGUUUGGUGCUGCAGAGCCUGGCUCCAGAGUGAUGGGCCUGAUUGUUCUGGGGAGAUAAGACUCAGGCUUCUCUGAUGUAGACAGCUUCCUUUCACACAAAGACACAAAGAAGUGGACUGCAUUGAUUUAGUAUCGAUUCAAGGACCCAGACUUUGGAGAUCUCUCCAGUUAGUUCUCGUCUAGCUGGGAGUGUGUUGAAGGAAGCAGAUUAUAUUGUGAGAGAGUGAGACAGCCAGAUAACACAGUUAGAAAGCAAUAGAGAAGAAUUAUAUUAUUGUGGAGCUAGGAUUUUCUUGCCCAUCUAAAGGCUCCUGGUAGCGUCCCAAUGGCCAAUGAGAUGUAAUUUUGUCACGGUAGAAUGAGCACCUGUCUGUUGAGCCUACAGGCUGCUGGUGGCCCGUUAGUUAUGGUGAGAGAGAGUAUGGCCAUUUAUCAGCUUGGGCGAUUUCUUAAAUGAGCACAUAUUGGGGCAGGUGACAGAGCAGCACGAGAGGAGAUUAGGCCUGUAAAUCGGCUGUAGCCAGAGAGCCGAAGUGACAGCAGGCAUCUCCCCUGGAUCUAAUAGGAGCUAGGCUGUCGGUCUGUGGGCUCCUACUGCACAGGGUCUGUUCCACUAUUCACAGUCAAUUCCGGGGGCACUGGAGAGCAAGGUGCUGGUAUCACGUUUUGAGGUAUGACCCAGGUGCAGACAGUGUUGAACAAUUCAAAAGCUUAUUAUUUAAACUGGGGCAGGCAAAUGACAGGUCAAGGCAGGCAGGGGUCAAUAAUCCAGAAAGGGUGUAAGGCACCGGAACAGUAGGCAGGCUCAGGGUCAGGUCAGGCAGAGGUCAGUAAUCCAGAGUAGUGGGGCAAAGGUACAGGACGACAGGCAGGCUCACGGUCAGGGCAGGCUGAACCGAGAAAAUAGAAAACAGGAGCAAGUACAGGCGGGAGCAGGGAAACAAAACGCUGGUAGAUUCUACAAACUAAAACGAAUUGGCAACAGACAAACAGAACACAUGUAUAAAUACACAGGGGAUAAUGGGGAAGAUGGGCGACAUCUGGAGGGGCGGGGGGAGACUAGCACAAAGACAGGUGAAACAGAUCAGGGCGUGAGAGCUGGAGUACCUACGGUAUCCACGAUAGGGAAAACUGGGGACAGAAGGAAGGGAGUUGUCGCUGUUGUAAUAAUGGCAUGCAUGAAGGGGCCCUGGCAGAAUUUUUGUCAUGGUUUCUAUUGCUAAAUCAGAACAAGGGAAACAGACAGUCCAUGACAAUGACCCAAAUGUAGAGACUUUAAUUCUGCACAAAUGUGAACUUGGAAUUCAAAAAACUGUGUAUCCCUAAAAACAAAUGCAAAAACAGGAACCUCAUUGUAUAAUGGAUGUUUUCAUAUUGCCAGAUUUGUGACUGUGUCUGUUUACAGAUGAUAAAUCCCACACCUGUAUUUUGAGUAUGACUGCAGUCAGCCUGUUAUUAAUUGCCGUAGGUUUUGCUAAAUGGGGUUACUUGAAGAACAGCACAGCCUUGGCCAUGCAGAGCAUGAGAGAUGUGACAAGGCCACUGAUGAAUUUAAAACAAUAGAGUCGACCAAGGAAAGAGGAUCAUAUAUUGAGUCAUACAGACAAGACAAGUAUGGGGGAUCAAUUAUAUUUGCCGCAGAUACAAAGGUUGAUGGAUUAUGGCUGUUCCCAAACAGUAAAUUAAAAUGCAGUAUAUUUACCUCUCCAAGUGCCUCUUCUGCAAAAACAUGUGAUUGGGGCAGUCAGCAGGAUGGAAUUAUAAGUGUCUUUGGCGGUUGGUUAAGACUCAUUAAAGAGUUCUAUAGUUGGGAUCCUACUGAGUCUGUGUGCUUCUGAAUAGCCCAGAAAAUAAAUAUUGUGUUUCACCCAUAAUUUUCUCUCUCCCAGGGAUUUAUAUUAAAGAGAAAGUGGGCGUGCGGCAAUCAGCUAAUGGCUAGGCUGGCCGCAAGCUGAAGGCUAUUAGCUGUGGUGUUGCACGGCAAUUAGCUUGUGAUUGCAAGAGACAGCUGAGACAUGGCUGGUUUUCUCUGUGGACGAUCUACUGUAGCGUUCCACUUAAUGGGAUGCUACUUAAAAUGUUGUCCUUUAUUUUUACGAGUAAAACUUUCCCAAACGCCAUAACAUGGACAAAAUGUGUAUUCCUUCACAGCUCAAAGGGACAUUUGCAGAUCUAUUUCACAAAACAGCUAUGAAUUGGCAGUAAUCAUUUAGAACUGAAAAAAACAUUCCCUGAUAAUAGUAUGCUGUUGACCUCCACUGGAUCAUCAUGACUCUAUCAUCCAUAUGGGCCCUUCAUGUUCACUACUCUCCAUUCUCCCCCUGCUCUCUCCUUCUCUAUGCCUCUGAACAUAACAUGUUCUCUGCCAUCGAGCUGUCACCACUCAACUGUAACCAUGAAACAUUGCAAUUUCUGCCUUUUAGAAACAUGUGCAAGCUGUUAAUUUUUCAGUUCUGCCCACAAAUCUUCCACAGGAUUGAGGUCAUGACUUUGUGAUGGCCACUCCAAUACCUUGACUUUGUUGUCCUCAAGACAUUUUGCCACAACUUUGGAAGUUUUCUUGGGGGCAUUGUCCAUUUGGAAGACCCAUUUGCAACCAAGCUUUAACUUCCUGACUGAUGUCUUAAGAUGUUUCUUCAAUAUAUCCACAGAAUAUUCCAUCCUCAUGAUGCCAUCUAUUUUGUGAAGUGCACCAGUCCCUCCUGCAGCAAAGCACCCCCACAACAUGAUGCUGCCACCCCCGUGCUUCACGGUUGUGAUGUUGUUCUUUGGCUUGCAAGCCUCCCCCUUCUUCCUCCAAACAUAACGAUGAUCAUUAUGGCCAAACAGUUCUAUUGUUGUUUCAUCAGACCAGAGGACAUUUCUCCAAAAAGUACAAUCUUUGUCCCCAUGUGCGGUUGCAAACCGUAGUCUGGCUUUUUUUAUGGCGGCUUUGGAGCAGUGGCUUCUUCCUUGCUGAGCGGCAUAUCAGGUUAUGUUAUGUUACUGGAUAUAGAUAUUUUUGUACCUGUUUCCUCCAGCAUCCUCACAAGGUCCUUUGCUGUUGUUCUGGUAAUGAUUUGCACUUUUCGCACCAAGGUACGUUGAUCUCUAGGACACAGAACGCAUCUCCUUCCUGAGGCUGCUUGGUCCCAUAAUGUUUAUACUUGCGUACUAUUGUUUUUACAGAUGAACGUGGUACCUUCAGGCGUUUGCAAAUUGCUCCCAAGGAUGAACCAGACUUUUGGAGGUCUACAAUUUUUUUUCUGAGGUGUUGGCUGAUUUCUUUUGAUUUUCUCAUGAUGUAGAGCAAAGAGUCACUUAGUUUGAAGAUUGGAUGUAUUUCAAGGUUUCAGGUACACCUCCAAUUGACUCAAAUGAUGGCUUUAGAAUCUUCUGAUAGGCUAAUUGACAUGACCUAAUUUUCUGGAAUUUUCCAAGCUGUUUAAAGGCACAGUCAACUUCGUGUAUGUGAAACAGUGAAUUAUAAGUGAAAUAAUGUGUCUGUAAACAAAUGUUGGAAAAAUGACUUGUGUCAUGCACAAAGUAGAUGUCCUAACCGACUUGCCAAAACUAUAGUUUGUGAACAAGAAAUUUGUGGAGUGGUUGAAAAACGAGUUUGUAGGUGAUCAAAUACUUAUUUUCCACCAUAAUUUGCAAAUAAAUUCAUUAAAAAAUCCUACAAUGUGAUUUUCUGGAAUUUUUUUCUU